UGAGUUUGAUCAUGGCUCAGAACGAACGCUGGCGGCAGGCCUAACACAUGCAAGUCGAGCGCGCCUUCGGGUGAGCGGCGGACGGGUUAGUAACGCGUGGGAACGUGCCCUUCUCUACGGAAUAGCCUCUGGAAACGGAGAGUAAUACCGUAUACGCCCUUUGGGGGAAAGAUUUAUCGGAGAAGGAUCGGCCCGCGUUAGAUUAGGUAGUUGGUGGGGUAAUGGCCUACCAAGCCUACGAUCUAUAGCUGGUUUUAGAGGAUGAUCAGCAACACUGGGACUGAGACACGGCCCAGACUCCUACGGGAGGCAGCAGUGGGGAAUCUUAGACAAUGGGGGCAACCCUGAUCUAGCCAUGCCGCGUGAGUGAUGAAGGCCUUAGGGUCGUAAAGCUCUUUCGCCUGUGAUGAUAAUGACAGUAGCAGGUAAAGAAACCCCGGCUAACUCCGUGCCAGCAGCCGCGGUAAUACGGAGGAGGUUAGCGUUGUUCGGAAUUACUGGGCGUAAAGCGCGCGUAGGCGGACUAGAAAGUUGGGGGUGAAAUCCCGAGGCUCAACCUCGGAACUGCCUCCAAAACUGCUAGUCUAGAGUUCGAGAGAGGUGAGUGGAAUUCCGAGUGUAGAGGUGAAAUUCGUAGAUA
This 640-nucleotide ribosomal RNA is filed under the name uncultured bacterium. RNAcentral's name for it is "bacterial SSU rRNA". It matches the Rfam family "Bacterial small subunit ribosomal RNA", at positions 1 to 696 of the family's 1533-position model. The record is from RNAcentral.